RNAcentral lists this non-coding RNA (21 nucleotides) under Arabidopsis thaliana (thale cress). The record is from RNAcentral. Lineage: Eukaryota; Viridiplantae; Streptophyta; Magnoliopsida; Brassicales; Brassicaceae.
UUUAUUGGGUUGCCUGAAUUU